Molecule: unclassified non-coding RNA, 272 nt
Filed under: Hevea brasiliensis (rubber tree)
Lineage: Eukaryota; Viridiplantae; Streptophyta; Magnoliopsida; Malpighiales; Euphorbiaceae
Source: RNAcentral
GUGAUAUACAUCAGCUGCUUCAGAGUGACCCUGGGGAGGAUGAGUCUUGAUUUCUGAUCUUCUCAAUUUUCAAGUGGUCCAGGGAAAUGAGUUGCCAGAAACUAUUACCCCAGCAGCCAGCCAGCCUUCGAAAUUGAUUUCAGCUUGUACAAAUAGGUAUGGGGCUCUGCGUGCACCAUGUUUUAGGCAAGCACCGAUAUGAUUUUUGGGUUUAUUGUGAAUUAGUUGGUAUUUAUGAUAUAAAUUCUCAACACACCAAUAUUUUGAGUUUU